Molecule: long non-coding RNA, 3014 nt
Organism: Callithrix jacchus (white-tufted-ear marmoset)
Lineage: Eukaryota; Metazoa; Chordata; Mammalia; Primates; Cebidae
Source: Ensembl
GUCCACAUGAUUAACACACGGUAUUCCAUGUCCCAGGUAAUCAUCUGAUUUAAAAAUUGGCCUUUGGUCACUGGGAGGAGCUGAAUAAGUGUAUAUAGAUGGCUAGGUGAAAAUCUAGUACACCUUUGGGGGAAAAAAUCCUCAAUAAAUAAUAAGUUAUUCAUUUGGUUAGAUAUCUUCAAAUACAAAAUAAUCCAUUGGCUUAAGUGCAUGCUUGCAUCAUGGGGUGCUUUACACGAUACUUCCAGCUGAGUCUGUGUUUGGGAACAAAGGAUGAGCUGAGAUAACUGACAAGCAAAGUGGCACUUGCCAAAUAAUCAAAAUGUAGAAAAUAUUAAGUGCAAAUAUCUGAGCCUACUUUCAAGGACUGAUAUUUAUCCUCCCUCCCUUCACUUCCCUUUCCCUCUCCCCACCCUUUCUGUUUAAUUGAAAUGCCAAUAGGAAUUUGACAGCGAUGAACACCCUAGUGGCCCCACACUGAAGUUUGCAGGUUGGGUGCAAUGUCUCCAUUUCUAGCUGUACAAGACUGAAAAAUUGUUAUAAUUAUCCUCCUUUGCAUAUGUUCAAGCACAGUAUAGUAUUCCAGGUUGCUGUGUCUAAAAACUGUGAAACUGAAAGUUAUGAUCUUUUCAGAAGACUCAGUGAAUGUUGGUUUAUACUCUCUAGUUCCUAGCUACUUGAAGCUUCCCUGUGAGCUGUAUCAGAAAGGACAGAUGUCUAAAACAGAAACAUUUGAAUUCUCUGAACAAUUGGAGUAAUUCCUUUAUGAGCUUUCUUUUUCUUUUUAAAAUUUGAAAAUAAUAUAUACUACCCUAUAUCACAUACUCUGGUUUUAUGUUAAAACAAGCAACCUGAUUUUUCAAUGCAUAUUAAAUAUAAAUAUUUGCAAAGGAAUAUUAUUGAUAGUGAUGAUGGGGCAGUCGCGGUGGUUUUGGAAAGUUUGUAUGUGAACAAUAGUCCUCUCCAUUUAUAUAUAUCACUUUCUGGUUUUAGGCUGCCACUGCUGUUUGUAGAGUCUAGCCUUGAUGGUAAGCAGAUGUCUCUACUCAUGUUUUUCCUUAGCCUUUGUUUCAGAUUUUGAGUGCCUUGAGUUGAGGGAGUAUUGGAUUUGUCUUUAUUCCCAAGCCUCUGUCACUCAAUAAAAGUAUGUGACCCAGAUGAAUAAAUAUGCAACCAAUCAGUGAUUCAUAAAUAGUCACCAAGGUGCGUAAUGUGAAGAAAAUAUGAUAGAAUUUUCAUCAAGUAAAAAAUGUAGAUUAUUAAAUAAUUUUUGUGGGAAUAGAAGUUUUGGAUUAUUUGUUAAAUGACUAUAGUAAAUGUCUUCAGUUCUGGUUUAAUGUGCUUGGAGGUACAUAAAUUCUUUCAGGCUACCAGGAUGCCCUUUUAGUUAAGAUAAAAUCUUAUUUUACUAAAUGGUACCCUAAUGACCUCUGGACAUUAGUGAAAACUGCCUAAUUUAUGCCUGUGGCUAACUCAUUUAUCAAAUGAAGUUUCACCCAGAAUACAGACAUAAAGAGAAGCGGGGUUUAGAUCACUCCAGGGGCAACUGAGCAUCUGUUCAGUGCCCCAGGAGGCAAGAUAUUGAAAAACAUAUCUGAGAAUGAAGAGAUGUAGAGCCCUAAUCCUGUCUCUGCCACCAAACAGCUGUGCAACCUCAGCUGAUCAAGCCUGUUUUCUAAUCUUGUAACUCACAGUGGAUCUCAAUCACUACCAGUUUAUCACAAAUAAAUAAAUAAAUAUUAUAUAUAUAGAGAGAGAGCACAGAUGGCAAGCCUGAGUCUUUUGAACAGAUUUUAAGACAUUAUUAUAAUGAAAGGAAGCACAAAACUCAGAACAUUUUGUGUUUGGGUUUUGUUGUUGUUUACUGUUUUUUCUGUUAUGGUGAGACCCAGGAGCUUGGUGGAUUUAUACCAUAUAAGAGGUUGAAAACAAAUGGAACUAGAUGAUUCCUACUACAUCUUCCACACUAAGGUUCUGUAAAUCUAGUUAAUUGCUGAAUGUUUGUAUGGAAGGAAACAAAGCUGGCCAUGAGCCAGAAUUUGUUCUAGUUAUCAAGAUAAAGCUCCCCCUCAAAAUAAUGAGCUUUUAAAGAGGCUAAAACUGUCUUUAUUCUUACAGUGAGCAGCUUGCUUAUAAUAAAGGAUAGCAGACUUCAAGUUAAGAGUGUACCAUUCCCUACAAAUUGAAUAUCCACACCAAAUGAAUCUGCCAUAGACCAUUAUAGUUGCAAAGAUUAGAAAUGAUUGUCAUAAUUUUUCCCUUAGAGUUUAACCACAUGAGACAAGAAUUUUUUUCAAAGUUAUCUGCUAUAUUUUAAAAAGACAACAGUUUUCUUAUUCUGUGUAAAAUGCAAAAUUUCUUUCUAAAAAAUUAAAUGAGACAAAAUUACUGUUUUCUUCAUCUCACUGACAAAGAGAGAACAAUACAGUAUGUUACAAUUAACAUAAACACACAACAUAUUUUCUUUUCUACUGCAGACUUAGAUCUCUGAUAGGAAACACUAUAUCUGGUUAAAGUUAUCAGGAAAGGAUCGAAAGUAUUUUGUAGCAUGACAUAAACAAAGGCACAAAAAGCAGAAGGGAAAAGAAAACUGUAGCUACCACAGCAAUAAUGAAACAGAAUGACAUUUUUACUAACCUUUCAAAAUUUCCCAGAUUCAGGAGUGACUCAAAAGCAGUGAGUUAUUUUACAUAGAUAAAAUCAGAAUCAGAACACUUUUAACAAUUCUAAAAGAGAGAGGAAUAAAAACCAAAUAAUCAUGAAAACUUGCAAUGAUGGAAAUAAUUAGAAAUAUGAAGGGGAAAAGAAGUAUUUGAAAGGCUAUGAAUUGAAAACAAAGAUAUAUACCAUUAUAUAUUAUCACAAAUCCACCUUUACCUCAAAGUAGACUAGCUUGGGUAAUAGAUUUAUCUAGCUCUAAUUUACAUGAAUUGGAUAAUGGAAGGACAAGAUUUCUAGAAGAAACUCAUUAAUCUAUUAGAGUUUUCAGGACUGAGAGCUGUUGAAAUAUAUAU